GACGAAAUGAAUGCAUUGAAGCCAGAAACUCUUGAAACACUACAACAUCACGAACAGAGUGAUAUAUCUUCAAUACACUAGCCUAUAAAAUAAUUCAAAACUUGUAAAUAGAUAAAACUUUAUUUUUUUAUAUUUCCUUAACUGUUAUUGUAAAAAAUGCUUUAGCAAUACCUGUAAAUUUUUUGGGGUCAUGCUAAUAAAGCUAAUUUAAAGUAAAAUAGUAAAGGAAGAUGUUUAAGGACAAGGUUUGGUGAGCAUCGGUGUGCAGUUAUUGGCAAUGAUGCUAACCAACCUGUUGCCAGACAUUUUAAUAAUGGCAAUCACAGUGUUUCAGAUAUGGUAAUUCGAGCCCUCUGUCCCAUUUCUGGAAGCAACGAUAGCCGCAAACAACACGAAAUGCGCCUCAUAUCCAAACUUGGCACUGUUCACCCUUCUGGUAUUAAUGAACGCUUUUCCUAUAUUUGAUUCCUUCUGUCCUUGCCUGUCUAUAGCAGACAUUGACAACAUUUAUCUAUUUAUUACUUUUACCUUAUUCCCACUUUUGUUUUGUUUUGAUUUUUUAUUAUUUGUAGUAAUUGUCUUAGCUUCCUGUUUAUUUUUAUAUUAUUUUUAUAUAUUUUUUAUUAUAUUAUAUUCUGUAAUGCGAUUUACAUAUUUUGUUUACACUUUGUUAUGAUUAUAAAGUGGUUUAUUUUUUGUCACGUGAUGCUUUCAUACUCUUAGUAUAAAAGCCCGUACAUUUUCCCCGAUCCCUGCUAUUAACUCUUGACGAAGGACCUUCGCUCGAAACGUCGAGUUUCUGCUUAUUUUUUAAGGUAGUAAUAUAACCACUCACCACAGCUUUUUAGUAAUGUGUAAUCACUCACAUGAAUGGACCUUGGCUACGUGUAGCCUUUUAG
This is a non-coding RNA of Paramuricea clavata, 899 nucleotides long. The record is from the annotation of a GenBank genome assembly. Lineage: Eukaryota; Metazoa; Cnidaria; Anthozoa; Malacalcyonacea; Plexauridae.